Molecule: ribosomal RNA, 429 nt
Filed under: Chloroflexota bacterium
Lineage: Bacteria; Bacillati; Chloroflexota
Description: Chloroflexi bacterium partial 16S ribosomal RNA
Rfam family: Bacterial small subunit ribosomal RNA
Source: RNAcentral
UGGGGAAUAUUGCACAAUUGGCGCAAGCCUGAUGCAGCCAUGCCGCGUGUGUGAAGAAGGCCUUCGGGUUGUAAAGCACUUUCAGCGGGGAGGAAGGCGGUGAGGUUAAUAACCUCAUCGAUUGACGUUACCCGCAGAAGAAGCACCGGCUAACUCCGUGCCAGCAGCCGCGGUAAUACGGAGGGUGCAAGCGUUAAUCGGAAUUACUGGGCGUAAAGCGCACGCAGGCGGUUGAUUGAGUCAGAUGUGAAAUCCCCGGGCUUAACCCGGGAAUUGCAUCUGAUACUGGUCAGCUAGAGUCUUGUAGAGGGGGGUAGAAUUCCAUGUGUAGCGGUGAAAUGCGUAGAGAUGUGGAGGAAUACCGGUGGCGAAGGCGGCCCCCUGGACAAAGACUGACGCUCAGGUGCGAAAGCGUGGGGAGCAAACAGG